GGGCUGGUAGUUAAAUGGGAUAACGGUAGCUUUGCAAGCUUCAAUUGAGAGUUCGAUUCUCUCCCGGUCCACCA
RNAcentral lists this transfer RNA (74 nucleotides) under Bacteroidota bacterium. RNAcentral's name for it is "Bacteroidetes bacterium (freshwater metagenome) tRNA-Ala". It matches the Rfam family "tRNA". From Rfam's summary of the family: Transfer RNA (tRNA) molecules are approximately 80 nucleotides in length. Their secondary structure includes four short double-helical elements and three loops (D, anti-codon, and T loops). The record is from RNAcentral. Lineage: Bacteria; Pseudomonadati; Bacteroidota.